RNAcentral lists this ribosomal RNA (353 nucleotides) under uncultured bacterium. RNAcentral's name for it is "bacterial SSU rRNA". It matches the Rfam family "Bacterial small subunit ribosomal RNA", at positions 917 to 1271 of the family's 1533-position model. The record is from RNAcentral.
GGGCCCGCACAAGCGGUGGAGUAUGUGGUUUAAUUCGAUGCAACGCGAAGAACCUUACCAGGGUUUGACAUCCUGCGAAUCUCUUGGAAACGAGAGAGUGCCUUCGGGAGCGCAGUGACAGGUGGUGCAUGGCUGUCGUCAGCUCGUGUCGUGAGAUGUUGGGUUAAGUCCCGCAACGAGCGCAACCCACGUCUUUAGUUGCCAGCAUUUAGUUGGGCACUCUAGAGAGACCGCCGGUGAUAAACCGGAGGAAGGUGUGGAUGACGUCAAGUCAUCAUGCCCCUUACAUCCUGGGCUACACACGUACUACAAUGGUAGGUACAGAGAGCAGCCAAUGCGCGAGCAUGAGCAAA